GCGUCAGUGAUCCAACGGCCAAGAUUCUAGCUUCCCAAGCUAGCUAUUCGGGUUCGAAUCCCGACUGGCGCA
Molecule: transfer RNA, 72 nt
Filed under: Candidatus Aenigmatarchaeota archaeon
Lineage: Archaea; Nanobdellati; Candidatus Aenigmatarchaeota
Description: tRNA-Gly
Rfam family: tRNA
About the family: Transfer RNA (tRNA) molecules are approximately 80 nucleotides in length. Their secondary structure includes four short double-helical elements and three loops (D, anti-codon, and T loops).
Source: RNAcentral